AUUGAACGCUGGCGGCAUGCCUUACACAUGCAAGUCGAACGGUAACAGGUCUUCGGAUGCUGACGAGUGGCGAACGGGUGAGUAAUACAUCGGAACGUGCCCAGACGUGGGGGAUAACGAGGCGAAAGCUUUGCUAAUACCGCAUACGAUCUAAGGAUGAAAGCAGGGGACCGCAAGGCCUUGCGCGUUUGGAGCGGCCGAUGGCGGAUUAGGUAGUUGGUGGGCUAAAAGCUUACCAAGCCGACGAUCUGUAGCUGGUGUGAGAGGACGACCAGCCACACUGGGAGUGAGACACGGCCAAGACUCCUACGGGAGGGAGCAGUGGGGAAUUUUGGACAAUGGGCGAGAGCCUGAUCCAGCAAUGCCGAGUGCAGGAUGAAGGCCUUCGGGUUGUAAACUGCUUUUGUACGGAACGAAAAGGCUCUGGCUAAUACCUGGGGCAAAUGACGGUACCGUAAGAAUAAGCACCGGCUAACUACGUG
RNAcentral lists this ribosomal RNA (482 nucleotides) under uncultured bacterium. RNAcentral describes it as "partial 16S ribosomal RNA". It matches the Rfam family "Bacterial small subunit ribosomal RNA", at positions 30 to 507 of the family's 1533-position model. The record is from RNAcentral.